RNAcentral lists this long non-coding RNA (1339 nucleotides) under Salmo salar (Atlantic salmon). RNAcentral describes it as "lncRNA (ENSSSAG00000119886.1)". Lineage: Eukaryota; Metazoa; Chordata; Actinopteri; Salmoniformes; Salmonidae. The record is from RNAcentral.
CUACACCACAACACACACAGACCACCUACACCACAACACACACAGACCUACACCACAACACACACAGACCACCUACACCACAUCACAAAGACUAGAUUUUCUAUCUGAACCUUCUGCAACCUUGCUGAACAGGUUUCAGGUAGAAACCUCCACCAGAAAAAUGUCUUCCCAUUUCGGCAUGUCUACGAGAAUCUGACAGCCUCCCAAGACCUCGUGCUCUUGCUCCUAUGUCUGGGUUUCUGAGACUAGUAAAUCCAGCCAGUAGGCCCUACCAGUGUCUCACUACAUCCAGCCAGUAGGCCCCUACCAGUCUCUCACUACAUCCAGCCAGUAGGCCCCUACCAGUCUCUCACCACAUCCAGCCAGUAGGCCCCUACCAGUCUCUCACUACAUCCAGCCAGUAGGCUCCUACCAGUCUCUCACCACAUCCAGCCAGUAGGUCCCUACCAGUCUCUCACUACAUCCAGCCAGUAGGCCCCUACCAGUCUCUCACUACAUCCAGCCAGUAGGCCCCUACCAGUCUCUCACUACAUCCAGCCAGUAGGCCCCUACCAGUCUCUCACCACAUCCAGCCAGUAGGCCCCUACCAGUCUCUCACUACAUCCAGCCAGUAGGCCCCUACCAGUCUCUCACUUCAUUAGUAAAUCUUUGUCAAAUCUGUCAUGAUUUAUGUGAAGAGGCCCACAAUGUGGAUACUAAAAUCUCAGUUGGAUUGUUGGCUGUUUUCACUGCAUAAUAUUUCAAAGUUGUCCUUUUUGGGUUUAGAAAAAGUGUCUGCUAAUCUUACUCCCGUUCUGAUAAGCUGGUAUACCUAGCCAUAUAAAAAUGACUGGUGGCAGUUAAAGUAAUUUUUAGGCAUAAGCCUAAUGCAGUUGAUUGGUGAUGAUGAAAUGAACGUAUUGGGGUUGACAUUCAAACAAGCAUUAUACUGUGAUUUUUACCCCCAACAUGUUAGUGAAAUACACAAACAAUUGCCUAAAUGUAGGCUAAUUUUGAUGGGCGGCCCUGAGGAGAUUCUUGAUCGGUACCACACGGGUAGUCUGGAAAACCCGACCCUAGGGAACAGAGUGACUAGAGUCUGGUUUCAAUUAUGGACUCUUUUCAUAGAGGAACUACCUACGACACUUCUUUAUGCUCUUGAAUAAAAACAACAUUUUAGCUAACAAGAUGGAGAUCACACAGCUUAUUUUUAAUGAGUGCAUUUCGCAAAUGGCUAGUUUCCAUUAAUUACCUUAACUAAAACCACUGCAAAGGUUUUGCCUGAAAACAUUGGUUUUGAAUAGCGAUGUUCUGGAAUGUCUGCAUCGUGUUGGGAGAGUCCCCAGAAUUUAUUUUUGAG